Molecule: small RNA, 28 nt
Filed under: Bombyx mori (domestic silkworm)
Lineage: Eukaryota; Metazoa; Arthropoda; Insecta; Lepidoptera; Bombycidae
Description: ovarian small RNA-15598
Source: RNAcentral
GACUACGUGAUUUAAGUGCUGCCUCUCC